RNAcentral lists this ribosomal RNA (548 nucleotides) under uncultured bacterium. RNAcentral's name for it is "partial 16S ribosomal RNA". It matches the Rfam family "Bacterial small subunit ribosomal RNA", at positions 355 to 889 of the family's 1533-position model. The record is from RNAcentral.
UGGGGAAUAUUGCACAAUGGGCGCAAGCCUGAUGCAGCCAUGCCGCGUGUGUGAAGAAGGCCUUCGGGUUGUAAAGCACUUUCAGCGAGGAGGAAGGUGGUGAACUUAAUACGUUCAUCAAUUGACGUUACUCGCAGAAGAAGCACCGGCUAACUCCGUGCCAGCAGCCGCGGUAAUACGGAGGGUGCAAGCGUUAAUCGGAAUUACUGGGCGUAAAGCGCACGCAGGCGGUUUGUUAAGUCAGAUGUGAAAUCCCCGGGCUCAACCUGGGAACUGCAUUUGAAACUGGCAAGCUAGAGUCUCGUAGAGGGGGGUAGAAUUCCAGGUGUAGCGGUGAAAUGCGUAGAGAUCUGGAGGAAUACCGGUGGCGAAAGGCGGCCCCCUGGACGAAGACUGACGCUCAGGUGCGAAAAGCGUGGGGAGCAAAACAGGAUUAGAUACCCUGGUAGUCCACGCUGUAAAACGAUGUCGAUUUUGGAGGUUGUGCCCUUGAGGCGUGGCUUCCGGAGCUAACGCGUUAAAAUCGACCGCCUGGGGAGUACGGCCGC